RNAcentral lists this ribosomal RNA (460 nucleotides) under uncultured bacterium. Its description in RNAcentral is "bacterial SSU rRNA". It matches the Rfam family "Bacterial small subunit ribosomal RNA", at positions 29 to 506 of the family's 1533-position model. The record is from RNAcentral.
AUGAACGCUGGCGGCGUGUCUUAGGCAUGCAAGUCGAACGUCCCUGGCCGCAAGGCUAGGGAAGUGGCAGACGGGAGAGGAUCACAUUGGUAACCUACCCCAAAGUUCGGAAUACCCCAUCGAAAGGUGGAACAAUACCGGAUGUGCUCAUCGGUCACAUGACCGAUGAGGAAAGCUCGCAAGGGCGCUUCGGGAGGGGCCUAUGGCUCAUCAGCUAGUUGGUAGGGUAAUGGCCUACCAAGGCGACGACGAGUAGCGGGCGUGAGAGCGCGACCCGCCCCACUGGGACUGAAACACUGCCCAGACUCCUACGGGAGGCUGCAGUCAAGAAUCUUCCGCAAUGGACGAAAGUCUGACGGAGCGACGCCGCGUGCAGGAUGACGCCCUUCGGGGUGUAAACUGCUUUUCCCAGGGACGAAUUUCUGACGGUACCUGGGGAAUAAGGGGCUGCUAACCUCGU